UACCGCGUGUGUGAAGAACGCCUUCGGGUUGUAAAGCACUUUAAGUUGGGAAGAAAAAACUUCAAUUAAUACUUGAAGUCUUGACGGUACCGACAGAAUAAGCACCGGCUAACUCUGUGCCAGCAGCCGCGGUAAUACAGAGGGUGCAAGCGUUAAUCGGAAUUACUGGGCGUAAAGCGAGCGUAGGUGGCUUGAUAAGUCAGAUGUGAAAGCCCCGGGCUUAACCUGGGAACGGCAUCUGAUACUGUUAGGCUAGAGUAGGUGAGAGGAAGGUAGAAUUCCAGGUGUAGCGGUGAAAUGCGUAGAGAUCUGGAGGAAUACCGAUGGCGAAGGCAGCCUUCUGGCAUCAUACUGACACUGAGGUUCGAAAGCGUGGGUAGCAAACAGGAUUAGAUACCCUGGUAGUCCAUGCCGUAAACGUUGGGCACUAGGUGUGGGGAACAUUCCACGUUUUCCGCGCCGUAGCUAACGCAUUAAGUGCCCCGCCUGGGGAGUACGGCCGCAAGGCUAAAACUCAAA
RNAcentral lists this ribosomal RNA (519 nucleotides) under Conticribra weissflogii. RNAcentral's name for it is "partial Bacterial small subunit ribosomal RNA". It matches the Rfam family "Bacterial small subunit ribosomal RNA", at positions 395 to 905 of the family's 1533-position model. Lineage: Eukaryota; Bacillariophyta; Thalassiosirophyceae; Thalassiosirales; Thalassiosiraceae. The record is from RNAcentral.